This 301-nucleotide ribosomal RNA is filed under the name Pelagococcus sp. RCC5670. Its description in RNAcentral is "SSU rRNA". It matches the Rfam family "Eukaryotic small subunit ribosomal RNA", at positions 626 to 926 of the family's 1831-position model. Lineage: Eukaryota; Pelagophyceae; Pelagomonadales; Pelagomonadaceae. The record is from RNAcentral.
GCUCGUAGUUGGAUUCCUGGCCUGGGGUAGCCGGUCCGCCUUGCAAAAGGUGCGCACUGUGCGGCCUCGGCCAUCCUUGAGAAGAGCUGUUCUGGCAUUCAGUUGUCGGGGCGGGGAUUCUCGACGUUUACUGUGAAAAAAUCAGAGUGUUCAAAGCAGGCUUACGCCUUGAAUACAUUAGCAUGGAAUAAUGAGAUAGGACCUUGGCGGUCUAUUUUGUUGGUUUGCACGCCGAGGUAAUGAUUAAAAGGGACGGUUGGGGUUCUUCGUAUUCAAUUGUCAGAGGUGAAAUUCUUGGAUU